RNAcentral lists this long non-coding RNA (218 nucleotides) under Elaeis guineensis (African oil palm). Its description in RNAcentral is "long non-coding RNA (EGUI_LNC051068)". Lineage: Eukaryota; Viridiplantae; Streptophyta; Magnoliopsida; Arecales; Arecaceae. The record is from RNAcentral.
GCAACUGAUUGCUUCUUCUUCUUUGGCCUGUUCGGGUCAAGAGAAGCGAUAUACUGUGGAUAAUUUCUCUUCCAGUGACCCUGCUUCUUGUAAAAAAAGCACUCUGUCUGACUUUGAUCAGUCUUAAACUUGAGUUUUUGAGACUGACUCCCAUCACCAGGCACCUUCUUAUUCUUCUUCUUUUUCUCUUUUUUAAAGGGACGACGACUACCCGAAGA